GCCCUGACGGCUUUGGAGUUUGUCAAAAAUAUUCAUGAUAUGAUGGUGAGAAAGAUGUACAAAUUUCCCCUGUUAGACAAAUCUGCUUUUCGAAUUGCCAAUGACAUGAUGGGCCGUAUAAAACUAGAAAAAAAUGGCAAGAGUCUAGAUUUCUUAACCGGCGAACUAUCACCCAAUCGUAUUUCUGCUAUUCAGGAAAUCUAUUGGAGUAUGGCGUCUGCCCUCUCUGAAGCUGAUGGAAUUGAUUAUACUGAUCCAGAAGAGCUCGAGCUGUUGAUUAGAACUCUUAUGGAUCUUGAUGCAAUGGAUGGCAAAAGCAGUGUAUCACUGCUUGCAGAAUGUUCGAGUUCUCCGGACGAAAAUACUAGACAAGCUCUGGCGAAUGCUCUGGCAGCAGCCCCGUCCAUGUGGACUCUUGGAAAUGCAGGCAUGGGAGCA
This 438-nucleotide unclassified non-coding RNA is filed under the name Hevea brasiliensis (rubber tree). The record is from RNAcentral. Lineage: Eukaryota; Viridiplantae; Streptophyta; Magnoliopsida; Malpighiales; Euphorbiaceae.